Molecule: unclassified non-coding RNA, 189 nt
Filed under: Phylloporus sp.
Lineage: Eukaryota; Fungi; Basidiomycota; Agaricomycetes; Boletales; Boletaceae
Description: partial contains small subunit ribosomal RNA, internal transcribed spacer 1, and 5.8S ribosomal RNA
Rfam family: Eukaryotic small subunit ribosomal RNA (bases 1-46)
Source: RNAcentral
AAGUCGUAACAAGGUUUCCGUAGGUGAACCUGCGGAAGGAUCAUUGACAUAUUGUGGUUUAUAGCCAUGAAUCCGUGUGAAGUGACAUAUUGUGGUAUGAUAGGGUUGGUAACGAGGGAAAACUAUACAAUGAUUGACUAAAUAUUAAAAAAUUAAAAACAACUUUUAACAAUGGAUCUCUUGGCUCUU